GCCUGUGGGAGGGGGUCUGGUUAGAUGAUCUGUCCAGGUCCCUCCUGACCCUAGCUACGAUGAAACUAUGACCUCUCUUCCUUCCACUCCCACCCACAAUCUCCAUGAAAAUGUCUGCCAGCUGAGCUGCUUCAUGUGACAGAAAUGGCAGCCAGCAACUGUGUUGGAGUGAGCAACAGUUGGAGUCUACAGACCAAACCCUUUUUGAUGUGGCAGGCACUCCAGAAAUAUGGCAGCAAGUUACCUCUGACUUUUCAGGCUCUUCCUGUAUUCUGAAGAGCUGUUCUGCAUUCUUAACACCUCUGUCAAAACAUUCAAUGCAACAAUUUUCAGGCUUGGUUUAGAUGAAAUGUGGGUUAAUUUCUCUAAAGCAGGGUUUCAAGGCUGUAAGUGACUUUCCAUCAGUCCAUACCAAUGCUCUGCAGUGUGCAUUGGGAAAGGUAAUAAACUCAUUCUAAUGCCAGUCCUCAUAAGGAAGAUAUCUGCUGGUUUAUAUUGGGAGAAUGUUCUUUGUUAGAGGGGAACACACUAAAAACCUGAACAUUGUCUUGUGUACAUCUUGACAGGAUUUAUACACUCCUACGAUAGGGUAAGUCUUUUUCAAUUAGCCUUUAAAACCAGCUGUCCUAAUAUAGCCUGGAAUAAGCUGACAGUCUCCUUAUUUCAUAAUACUUUAAAAAGUGAAAUUAAUAGAGCGUAUAGGUUGGCAGAACUUCAGUACAAAUUGGUACAGUAACAAAUCUUGGAUCAUUUGAUUUUUUUAUUGUGUGUGCAGUCAGAUGAGUAGAAAGAAGAACCUUGAGUACUCUGGCAACAAACCCAUAAAACCCAAUUAUUUAUUUUAAGUUGCAUUGAGGGUCUUAUCAAUGUCUGUCUUGUUGGUGUAUUUGUGUGUGAGCAACAGUUGAACAGAAAAUCAUUUAAGUACAGUCUGUGUUUGUUGAUAUUCAGCAGCCAGCAAAAUUUUUUAUUCUUAGAUGCGAUUAUACAUGGCAAAAGCUGGGGGAAGGGAAAAUUGGCAACUCCUGCAAAAAUUUUCCACUUUUCAUACCACAAAAACAAGACUAGACCAAUCUUCAGUAGAAAUCUUAAUUACCCAAAAUCAUUUUUGCAAAAGGAAUUGUCACUAGAAAAAAAACCAGUGUAAAGUUAGAACUUGGCUUCUUUGUGGAAAUCCAGGUUCAAUAGGAAAAGCAGCAUUUGAAAAGGGAAAAAAUAAUAAUGGGUUUAGAAGUAACGUCUGAUUAAAAGAAUGGACUUUGAAGAUGCAGCAUGUAAAACCAAUUGUAUUUAAUUCAAGAAAUACUCUUGUCUGCUGCUGACCCCAAAUAAUAAGUGGAGGGGUAGAGAAGAGAGGUAUGUUUUGCAAGUCUAAAUCUAUGAAGUCAAAAUUAUUGCAGAUCUUUUUAUGAUAUAAGUGGAGAUGGUAAUGGUGAUAAUCAAAGCCAACAAAUCUUAAUAAGUUAGUAAAAGUUUAUGCACCUAGGAAAGUAUCAUCUGACAGCUUUAUUUGGAAGUAUAUCUCUAAAAGCUGUAGAAUUUUCCUGGGAUGAAGAGAUGAAGCAAGUAUCCAGUUUUCUGGUUAAGGAGAAAAACCAAAUACAAAUGCAUAUAUAUACAUACACACACAAAACAAUGCACCAUUUUGUCCAAACUGUCUAUGCUUUUCAAUAGUAAUCCUUUUUAAAACUAUUUGCAAGUAGCUGGGCUUGAGUGAUACAUAUAAAUGGUUCAAUGUGUUUUUUUGAAUGGGAAUGAUUUUAAAUUGAUCAAAAUAAAAUUUUAAAAAGUGCCCAGAUUUCUCCAGGUGGCCUAGAAAAAAUGUCCUUGUGAAGGAAGUAGUAAAUUCUAUAUCAGUACUUUAUUUUCAAUUUUGGCUCCUCUGUGCUUCAUUUUCAGAUAAAGUUUCAGUGACCUAGAUUUUUCUCAGAGAGCUCCUUCAAGAAGCACCAUGUUGCAACUAUUGCACCUACAAAAUCCUUUUAAAGGCUGUCCCUGGUGCCAGGACAGGAAUAAAGUUUCUAGUGUUCUUCUGUAUAAGUGGUUUCUUUAACUUUGGCUGUAACCUGUGUUAAAAUGGGGGGCAGGGAGGGAGAGACUAUGCUUAGACAUACUAGACAGAACUUGUUUAUAGGUAUUAUAUUUUAUUGGCAUAACCAAUUAGCUCCACUUCUGAAUGAAGGCAAUUCCAAGGCUAUAAGAUCAUUCUGUCUGUACAUGUUUAUGUACUCAAGGAAACUUGCUUACCACUAGCCUUAUUAAAAUAAGAUCAAACUGUU
Molecule: long non-coding RNA, 2279 nt
Organism: Gavialis gangeticus (Gharial)
Lineage: Eukaryota; Metazoa; Chordata; Crocodylia; Gavialidae
Exons: 2
Source: RefSeq, a predicted model, not a curated record